Molecule: ribosomal RNA, 424 nt
Filed under: uncultured prokaryote
Description: bacterial SSU rRNA
Rfam family: Bacterial small subunit ribosomal RNA
Source: RNAcentral
UGGGGAAUAUUGGACAAUGGGCGCAAGCCUGAUCCAGCCAUGCCGCGUGAGUGAUGAAGGCCUUAGGGUUGUAAAGCUCUUUCACCGGUGAAGAUAAUGACGGUAACCGGAGAAGAAGUCCCGGCUAAUUUCGUGCCAGCAGCCGCGGUAAUACGUAAGGGACUAGCGUUGUUCGGAAUUACUGGGCGUAAAGCGCGCGUAGGCGGCACGUCAAGUUAGGGGUGAAAUCCCGGAGCUGAACUCCGGAACUGCCUCUAAAACUGGCGAGCUAGAGUUCGAGAGAGGUGAGUGGAAUUCCCAGUGUAGAGGUGAAAUUCGUAGAUAUUGGGAAGAACACCGGUGGCGAAGGCGGCUCACUGGCGCGAUACUGACGCUGAGGUGCGAAAGCGUGGGGAGCAAACAGGAUUAGAUACCCCUGUAGUCC